GAUGAACGCUGGCGGCGUGCCUAAUACAUGCAAGUCGAGCGAACGGACGAGAAGCUUGCUUCUCUGAUGUUAGCGGCGGACGGGUGAGUAACACGUGGAUAACCUACCUAUAAGACUGGGAUAACUUCGGGAAACCGGAGCUAAUACCGGAUAAUAUUUUGAACCGCAUGGUUCAAAAGUGAAAGACGGUCUUGCUGUCACUUAUAGAUGGAUCCGCGCUGCAUUAGCUAGUUGGUAAGGUAACGGCUUACCAAGGCAACGAUGCAUAGCCGACCUGAGAGGGUGAUCGGCCACACUGGAACUGAGACACGGUCCAGACUCCUACGGGAGGCAGCAGUAGGGAAUCUUCCGCAAUGGGCGAAAGCCUGACGGAGCAACGCCGCGUGAGUGAUGAAGGUCUUCGGAUCGUAAAACUCUGUUAUUAGGGAAGAACAUAUGUGUGAGUAACUGUGCACAUCUUGACGGUACCUAAUCAGAAAGCCACGGCUAACUACGUGCCAGCAGCCGCGGUAAUACGUAGGUGGCAAGCGUUAUCCGGAAUUAUUGGGCGUAAAGCGCGCGUAGGCGGUUUUUUAAGUCUGAUGUGAAAGCCCGCGGCUCAACCGUGGAGGGUCAUUGGAAACUGGAAAACUUGAGUGCAGAAGAGGAAAGUGGAAUUCCAUGUGUAGCGGUGAAAUGCGCAGGGAUAUGGAGGAACACCAGUGGCGAAGGCGACUUUCUGGUCUGUAACUGACGCUGAUGUGCGAAAGCGUGGGGAUCAAACAGGAUUAGAUACCCUGGUAGUCCACGCCGUAAACGAUGAGUGCUAAGUGUUAGGGGGUUUCCGCCCCUUAGUGCUGCAGCUAACGCAUUAAGCACUCCGCCUGGGGAGUACGACCGCAAGGUUGAAACUCAAAGGAAUUGACGGGGACCCGCACAAGCGGUGGAGCAUGUGGUUUAAUUCGAAGCAACGCGAAGAACCUUACCAAAUCUUGACAUCCUUUGACAACUCUAGAGAUAGAGCUUUCCCCUUCGGGGGACAAAGUGACAGGUGGUGCAUGGUUGUCGUCAGCUCGUGUCGUGAGAUGUUGGGUUAAGUCCCGCAACGAGCGCAACCCUUAAGCUUAGUUGCCAUCAUUAAGUUGGGCACUCUAAGUUGACUGCCGGUGACAAACCGGAGGAAGGUGGGGAUGACGUCAAAUCAUCAUGCCCCUUAUGAUUUGGGCUACACACGUGCUACAAUGGACAAUACAAGGGGCAGCGAAACCGUGAGGUCAAGCAAAUCCCAUAAAGUUGUUCUCAGUUCGGAUUGUAGUCUGCAACUCGACUACAUGAAGCUGGAAUCGCUAGUAAUCGUAGAUCAGCAUGCUACGGUGAAUACGUUCCCGGGUCU
RNAcentral lists this ribosomal RNA (1372 nucleotides) under uncultured bacterium. RNAcentral describes it as "bacterial SSU rRNA". It matches the Rfam family "Bacterial small subunit ribosomal RNA", at positions 28 to 1381 of the family's 1533-position model. The record is from RNAcentral.